Vespa velutina is the source of this 1245-nucleotide long non-coding RNA. RefSeq lists it as uncharacterized. Lineage: Eukaryota; Metazoa; Arthropoda; Insecta; Hymenoptera; Vespidae. The record is from RefSeq and is a predicted model, not a curated record. The transcript has 4 exons.
AUGCUGCGCUUAAGUUGGCUUGGGCUUCAAUCAGUUUUCCCAGUUCUAUGCAAUUCUCAAAAUUCUUAUUGAUUCCAUGUAAUAUCACAAGUGUUGACCAUUUUAAUGUCAGAUAUGCAGUUAAAGCGGUAUUCAGACUAGAAAGUGAUCAACAUAAGUAACGUUAACAUAUAUAAUAUUUUCUGAUACAAUAGUACAAGGUUAUGUCAUAUGAUGUAAUGUUAAUCUUACGUAGGAACAACAUUUUUAUGCCAAGUAGCUUGUUCUGCAAUAACACUUGUCAUAUGCUUCACGGUGGCUUCCGGUUGCUUUGCCAAUAACUUUUUAAUGACAUUUUUCACGUAAGAUUGGGAAGCUGUAUCUUUAUAUCGAUGCAAAGUAAGAGAUAGAACUUUGCAAAUACCACAGACGAUUUUGUCAUUAAUACCUGAAACAAACGACACGAUAUAACGAGGAUAAAUGAUAAUGGAUUUGACAACACAUCGACGACAUUUUGUAAAAUCUCACGCCGCUCCUUUUUGCUGGCGGUUUGAAUUCGAUUAGUAUUCCACGUGACAGACUUACCUCGACAUCCGCCAUAUUUCUUCAAAAACCGGACUGACUAUCAGCGCCACGUUUCCUUAAUUUGUAAUCACGCGUUAGAUGAAGUUGUCUACAUAUGUACGUAUGCAUUGACGAGAUCAUCGAUUCGUUCAUUUAAAAUAAAUACGAAGUCUCGUUUAUUCGCGAGUAUUGAAAAAUUGAAAAAAAAAAAGAAAAGAAAAAAUGAAAGUAAGAAAAAAAGAAAGGGAAGAAAAAAAAAGAAAAUAAGAAAAAGGAGAAGAAGAAGAAAAAAAGAAAAAAGAAAAAGAAAGGAAGAAUGAAAAACGAAAAUCAAAAGUCAAAAUUCAAACAUUGGUUAUCCAUCGUAUCGUAUACACGUAUUCGAAUAAAUUUGAACAUUACUCACGGAUGAUAAACAAAAAUCGAUUCUACGGUCGAUACGUUAUAAUUAACGAAGAAUUAAAUAAGAAAAAAAAAAAAGAAGAUCGAUAGAUCAGGAACUCAGUAUGAAAAGUUGCCAGAAACGGCGAAGCUCCAGAAAAGAGAUUGCACGCAUUUUGUCUUUAAUCAAUGUAAAUCGAUGGAGGAUGGUAUGGGGGUUGUUGGGGAUGUUGAAAAGUAAAAAAAAAAAAAGGAGAAAAUAAAUCAAUAAAUAAAAGUAAGAGAAAAGAAAAAAAAAAUUGAAAAAAAAUGAGAAAAAAA